RNAcentral lists this ribosomal RNA (444 nucleotides) under uncultured bacterium. RNAcentral's name for it is "SSU rRNA". It matches the Rfam family "Bacterial small subunit ribosomal RNA", at positions 26 to 518 of the family's 1533-position model. The record is from RNAcentral.
AGAGCGAACGCUGGCGGCAGGCCUAACACAUGCAAGUCGAGCGCCCCGCAAGGGGAGCGGCAGACGGGAGAGUAACACGUGGGAACGUACCCUUUGGUUCGGAACAACACAGGGAAACUUGUGCUAAUACCGGAUAAGCCCUUACGGGGAAAGAUUUAUUGCCAAAGGAUCGGCCCGCGUCUGAUUAGCUUGUUGGUGAGGUAACGGCUCACCAAGGCUACGAUCAGUAGCUGGUCUGAGAGGAUGAUCAGCCUCACUGGGACUGAGACACGGCCCAGACUCCUACGGGAGGCAGCAGUGGGGAAUAUUGGACAAUGGGCGCAAGCCUGAUCCAGCCAUGCCGCGUGGAUGAUGAAGGCCCUAGGGUUGUAAAGUCCUUUCGGACGGGAAGAUAAUGACGGUACCCGUAGAAGAAGCCCCGGCUAACUUCGUGCCAGCAGCCGC